GGCAGUGUAGCUAAGUGGUAAAGCAUUUGCCUGGAAAGCAGGAGGCCCUGGGUUCUAUCACCAGUACCA
Non-coding RNA from Ictidomys tridecemlineatus (thirteen-lined ground squirrel), 69 nucleotides. The record is from Rfam. NCBI's taxonomy places the organism in Eukaryota, Metazoa, Chordata, Mammalia, Rodentia, Sciuridae.